RNAcentral lists this ribosomal RNA (306 nucleotides) under Acinetobacter ursingii. Its description in RNAcentral is "bacterial SSU rRNA". It matches the Rfam family "Bacterial small subunit ribosomal RNA", at positions 931 to 1235 of the family's 1533-position model. The record is from RNAcentral. Lineage: Bacteria; Pseudomonadati; Pseudomonadota; Gammaproteobacteria; Moraxellales; Moraxellaceae.
UGGUGGAGCCAUGUGGUUUAAUUCGAUGCAACGCGAAGAACCUUACCUGGUCUUGACAUAGUAAGAACUUUCCAGAGAUGGAUUGGUGCCUUCGGGAACUUACAUACAGGUGCUGCAUGGCUGUCGUCAGCUCGUGUCGUGAGAUGUUGGGUUAAGUCCCGCAACGAGCGCAACCCUUUUCCUUAUUUGCCAGCACUUCGGGUGGGAACUUUAAGGAUACUGCCAGUGACAAACUGGAGGAAGGCGGGGACGACGUCAAGUCAUCAUGGCCCUUACGACCAGGGCUACACACUGCCUACAAUGGAC